RNAcentral lists this long non-coding RNA (1026 nucleotides) under Monodelphis domestica (gray short-tailed opossum). RNAcentral's name for it is "lncRNA (ENSMODG00000045757.1)". Lineage: Eukaryota; Metazoa; Chordata; Mammalia; Didelphimorphia; Didelphidae. The record is from RNAcentral.
CUAGCUGAUACUAUUUUAAUUUUCCCUAACCUAUCAUUUAAUCCAUCAUGGCCAUUGCUUGCAGCUACUGUUAAUUCUCCAUUAUCCAGGCUGAAGUCUGAACAGGUUGGCACUGGGAAGAGGAGAGCCUGUGUGGUAUAAAUAAAAGGAUAUCACACCAAAAAUCAAGAUCAAAUGAAGUGACAUCAGGCUGUUAGUUGGCCCAGUGGAGGGAGGGCUAGUUCUAGUCAAGAAGACAAGUUCAGAUCUGCUCAGAUACUUCCUAGAUGUAUGGCUAGACAAAAAUCACUUCAUUUCAGUUUGCCUUAGUUUCCUCCCCCAUAAAAUGGGGAUAAUAAAAGGACCUACCUUGCAGAGUGUUGUGAGGAUCAAAUGAGUUCAUGUUUAUAAAGCACCUGGCACAUAGUAGAAGCUAUAUAAAUGCAUGUUCCCUUUCCUCCUUCUUAUUCAUAGACUUAGAGAUGAGUGAGACCUCAGAAGCCAUCUAAUCCAACCCUUUAUCACACAAAUGAGGUCCAAGAUCCCAUAGACAAGAAGUAACUGAAUCAAAUUUUGAACUAAAAUCCUUUGACCCCCUCUUCCCCCACCCAAGUCCCAGCAAUCUUUUUUUAAAAUUUAUUUCGAAUAUUUUUCCAUGGAUACAUGAUUCAUGAUCUCUCCCCCCCCCCAACCCCUGCUCUUCCCUCCCCGCCCCUGGAGGUAACAAGCAGUUCCACUGGGUUAUACAUGUAUCAUUGUUCAAAACCUAUUUGCAGAUUAUUCAUAUUUGCAAUAGAGGGAAGGAAGGAAGGAAGGAAGGAAGGAAGGAAGGAAGGAAGGAAGGAAGGAAGGAAGGAAGGAAGGAAGGAAGGAAGGAAGGAAGGAAGGAAGGAAGGAAGGAAGAAAGAAAGAAAGAAAGAAAGAAAGAAAGAAAGAAAGAAAGAAAGAAAGAAAGAAAGAAAGAAAAGAAAAGCAAGAAAGAAGGAAAGAAAGAGUAAGAGAGACAGAGAGAGAAAGAAAGAAAGAAAGAAAGAAAAGCACAGCAAG